GGACGUGAGGGCGAUCUGGCUGUCACCCCAUUGAUCCCCAGGAUUGAUUCGGCUGGUCUGCCUGGCUAGGAGGGUGUCCCCUUCCUCCCUCACCGCUCCAUGUGCGUCCCUCCGAAGCUGCGCACUCGCUCAAAGAGGACGAUCUUCCCUGACAGAGACGUACUGCUCAUUGGUCAAGGGUAUAUGGUAGCUGCGCUCCCCCGCUAGAACCUCCAAACAAGCUCAAGGUCCAUUUGUAGGAGAACGUAGGGUAGUCAAGCUGCCAAGACUGCAGACACAUCCAAGUGAGGCACUGCAUGGUUUUUCAAU
Molecule: small nuclear RNA, 309 nt
Filed under: Phoenicopterus ruber ruber
Lineage: Eukaryota; Metazoa; Chordata; Aves; Phoenicopteriformes; Phoenicopteridae
Description: 7SK RNA
Rfam family: 7SK RNA
About the family: 7SK was discovered as an abundant small nuclear RNA in the mid-70s but a possible function has only recently been suggested.
Source: Rfam by way of RNAcentral